Molecule: ribosomal RNA, 621 nt
Filed under: Staphylococcus equorum
Lineage: Bacteria; Bacillati; Bacillota; Bacilli; Caryophanales; Staphylococcaceae
Description: bacterial SSU rRNA
Rfam family: Bacterial small subunit ribosomal RNA
Source: RNAcentral
CUCCUUUGAAGUUAGCGGCGGACGGGUGAGUAACACGUGGGUAACCUACCUAUAAGACUGGAAUAACUUCGGGAAACCGGAGCUAAUGCCGGAUAACAUUUGGAACCGCAUGGUUCUAAAGUAAAAGAUGGUUUUGCUAUCACUUAUAGAUGGACCCGCGCCGUAUUAGCUAGUUGGUAAGGUAACGGCUUACCAAGGCAACGAUACGUAGCCGACCUGAGAGGGUGAUCGGCCACACUGGAACUGAGACACGGUCCAGACUCCUACGGGAGGCAGCAGUAGGGAAUCUUCCGCAAUGGACGAAAGUCUGACGGAGCAACGCCGCGUGAGUGAUGAAGGUUUUCGGAUCGUAAAACUCUGUUAUUAGGGAAGAACAAAUGUGUAAGUAACUGUGCACAUCUUGACGGUACCUAAUCAGAAAGCCACGGCUAACUACGUGCCAGCAGCCGCGGUAAUACGUAGGUGGCAAGCGUUAUCCGGAAUUAUUGGGCGUAAAGCGCGCGUAGGCGGUUUCUUAAGUCUGAUGUGAAAGCCCACGGCUCAACCGUGGAGGGUCAUUGGAAACUGGGAAACUUGAGUACAGAAGAGGAAAGUGGAAUUCCAUGUGUAGCGGUGAAAUGC